UUUGGCCCAUUAAUUGUUUCUGCUUGAGUUUAUUAUUUUAUUUUGUGAAGCGUGUUGGUUGUCACCCAAGGGCACUUGGCCCAAUGGAAGUGGGGUUUGACCCAUGACCCCAAGGUCAUGGGUUCAACCCCUAGUGCCCCCUUUUGUUAUAUUUUUCAUUCUUUUCCUUUUUAUUUCUUAUUUUCUUCAUUUUCAUUUAUUUUCUUCCCAUUUUUAUUUCACUUAUUUUGUC
RNAcentral lists this long non-coding RNA (232 nucleotides) under Lathyrus oleraceus (garden pea). Its description in RNAcentral is "Pisum sativum (pea) long non-coding RNA (PSAT_LNC034478)". Lineage: Eukaryota; Viridiplantae; Streptophyta; Magnoliopsida; Fabales; Fabaceae. The record is from RNAcentral.